Stegodyphus dumicola is the source of this 552-nucleotide long non-coding RNA. The record is from RefSeq and is a predicted model, not a curated record. Lineage: Eukaryota; Metazoa; Arthropoda; Arachnida; Araneae; Eresidae.
AACUCUGAAACUUAAUGUGAUAAGAAUGCUGUGUAUCCUAUAAUGUAGUUAUCAUUAGUAAUUUUAAUUUGCAUACAUGUAACGAUAUUUCUUUGAAAACUCAUUUCUUCACUUUAAACGUAUUUGGCAUCAUUAACGUAUUGGAAUUUAAGGCAAUUCGAAAGCUCGAUUGUAAAAUUACGGAGCUCAGUUCAUGAAUUUAAUGCAGUUCGGAAGUUCCAUAACCGAAAAUACAGAAAUAAAGUCCUGGCUGAUGUACAGAGAUGCAUUGACCUUCGACAAAUAAAGCGUCGAUUUGUGUGUGAAGACCAUAGUCCAAGCUUAUGAUACCACGUGACAGGGAAAAGUCUUUGGAUUAGCGAAGAUGUAGCGCAAACUUGAUUAUUAAACUGAGAAAUGGAAGAAAGCUCCAGCGUAAAUUUGUCAUCUUUUCCAUUUGAAUUUCUUGAAGACGCUUGCUAAAGAGGUUUAAAGUAUUAAAGCAUUUCUUGUAUAAUGAAACAGGAAAGACCUCAACAGUGUGAAACAGCGCCGCAAAAACCCAGUUACAGG